UCAGUAACUGGAAUCUGUCCCUGCGUGGUAAAAGUGUGCAGGGCCUGGCUGGUUACUGCACC
Molecule: microRNA precursor, 62 nt
Organism: Astatotilapia calliptera (eastern happy)
Lineage: Eukaryota; Metazoa; Chordata; Actinopteri; Cichliformes; Cichlidae
Source: Ensembl